UAAUACAUGCAAGUCGAACGAGUUCUGAUUAUUUAAAGGUGCUUGCAUCUUGAUUUAAUUUUGAACGAGUGGCGGACGGGUGAGUAACACGUGGGUAACCUGCCCUUAAGUGGGGGAUAACAUUUGGAAACAGAUGCUAAUACCGCAUAAAUCCAAGAACCGCAUGGUUCUUGGCUGAAAGAUGGCGUAAGCUAUCGCUUUUGGAUGGACCCGCGGCGUAUUAGCUAGUUGGUGAGGUAACGGCUCACCAAGGCAAUGAUACGUAGCCGAACUGAGAGGUUGAUCGGCCACAUUGGGACUGAGACACGGCCCAAACUCCUACGGGAGGCAGCAGUAGGGAAUCUUCCACAAUGGACGCAAGUCUGAUGGAGCAACGCCGCGUGAGUGAAGAAGGCUUUCGGGUCGUAAAACUCUGUUGUUGGAGAAGAAUGGUCGGCAGAGUAACUGUUGUCGGCGUGACGGUAUCCAACCAGAAAGCCACGGCUAACUACGUGCCAGCAGCCGCGGUAAUACGUAGGUGGCAAGCGUUAUCCGGAUUUAUUGGGCGUAAAGCGAGCGCAGGCGGUUUUUUAAGUCUGAUGUGAAAGCCCUCGGCUUAACCGAGGAAGUGCAUCGGAAACUGGGAAACUUGAGUGCAGAAGAGGACAGUGGAACUCCAUGUGUAGCGGUGAAAUGCGUAGAUAUAUGGAAGAACACCAGUGGCGAAGGCGGCUGUCUGGUCUGUAACUGACGCUGAGGCUCGAAAGCAUGGGUAGCGAACAGGAUUAGAUACCCUGGUAGUCCAUGCCGUAAACGAUGAAUGCUAGGUGUUGGAGGGUUUCCGCCCUUCAGUGCCGCAGCUAACGCAUUAAGCAUUCCGCCUGGGGAGUACGACCGCAAGGUUGAAACUCAAAGGAAUUGACGGGGGCCCGCACAAGCGGUGGAGCAUGUGGUUUAAUUCGAAGCAACGCGAAGAACCUUACCAGGUCUUGACAUCUUUUGAUCACCUGAGAGAUCAGGUUUCCCCUUCGGGGGCAAAAUGACAGGUGGUGCAUGGUUGUCGUCAGCUCGUGUCGUGAGAUGUUGGGUUAAGUCCCGCAACGAGCGCAACCCUUAUGACUAGUUGCCAGCAUUUAGUUGGGCACUCUAGUAAGACUGCCGGUGACAAACCGGAGGAAGGUGGGGAUGACGUCAAAUCAUCAUGCCCCUUAUGACCUGGGCUACACACGUGCUACAAUGGAUGGUACAACGAGUUGCGAGACCGCGAGGUCAAGCUAAUCUCUUAAAGCCAUUCUCAGUUCGGACUGUAGGCUGCAACUCGCCUACACGAAGUCGGAAUCGCUAGUAAUCGCGGAUCAGCACGCCGCGGUGAAUACGUUCCCGGGCCUUGUACACACCGCCCGUCACACCAUGAGAGUUUGUAACACCCGAAGCCGGUGGCGUAACCCUUUUAGGGAGCGAGCCGUCUAAGGUGGGACAAAUGAUUAGGGUGAA
This 1473-nucleotide ribosomal RNA is filed under the name uncultured organism. RNAcentral describes it as "16S ribosomal RNA". It matches the Rfam family "Bacterial small subunit ribosomal RNA". The record is from RNAcentral.